UACGUAGGGGGCAAGCGUUGUCCGGAAUCAUUGGGCGUAAAGCGCGUGUAGGCGGCUGAGUAAGUCUGCUGUGAAAGCCCGGGGCUCAACCCCGGGAGGCGGGUGGAUACUGCUCAGCUCGAGUCCGGAAGAGGAGUGUGGAAUUCCUGGUGUAGCGGUGAAAUGCGCAGAUAUCAGGAGGAACACCAAUGGCGAAGGCGGCACUCUGGGCCGGCACUGACGCUGAGGAGCGAAAGCGUGGGUAGCAAACAGG
Molecule: ribosomal RNA, 253 nt
Filed under: uncultured bacterium
Lineage: Bacteria
Description: partial 16S ribosomal RNA
Rfam family: Bacterial small subunit ribosomal RNA
Source: RNAcentral